UGGAGUUGCUGAUGAGUUUGGACCAUCAUCGGGGGGGUCGUCUCCGAAAAGUAGGAUGAAGUUCUUGUGUAGCUAUGGCGGUAAAAUCUUGCCGAGAACCGCCGAUGGCCAGCUUAAGUACGUCGGCGGCGAUACGCGUGUCAUUGCGGUUCCGAGAGAUAUUAGCUUCUCAGGUUUGGCACCUAGUUUGUACAUACAGCUCUAUUUCUCAUUAUACAUGUUUUCUAAUGUUCGUUUAGAACCCAUUGCUUAAGGCUUCAUUUGAAUUCUCACAUUUUUUAUUUCUUCUU
This 290-nucleotide unclassified non-coding RNA is filed under the name Hevea brasiliensis (rubber tree). The record is from RNAcentral. Lineage: Eukaryota; Viridiplantae; Streptophyta; Magnoliopsida; Malpighiales; Euphorbiaceae.